This 254-nucleotide ribosomal RNA is filed under the name uncultured bacterium. Its description in RNAcentral is "partial 16S ribosomal RNA". It matches the Rfam family "Bacterial small subunit ribosomal RNA", at positions 524 to 776 of the family's 1533-position model. The record is from RNAcentral.
UACGUAGGGGGCUAGCGUUGUCCGGAAUCAUUGGGCGUAAAGCGCGCGUAGGCGGCCCGGUAAGUCCGCUGUGAAAGUCAAAGGCUCAACCUUUGAAUGUCAGCGGAUACUGCCGUGACUUGAGUCCGGUAGGGGAGUGCGGAAUUCCUGGUGUAGCGGUGAAAUGCGCAGAUAUCAGGAGGAACACCAAUGGCGAAGGCAGCACUCUGGGCCGGUACUGACGCUGAGGAGCGAAAGCGUGGGGAGCAAACAGG